CUCCUUCUCUCUCCUCCUCUCCCAGUGUGAUCCCCGUUUCUAAUCACAGGAGAGCGAAGCGGUGGGGAGCUCCCGCCAGAAAGCCCCUAACUGGAAGUGACUGGUUUGACCCCCCACGGCUCCGUCUCCUGAUUGUCAAGGCUAGCCGUCCUCAGAAAGCCCCUAUUAAUGUGUGCAGAACACGGGCGCGCUCCCUCCGCCGCGGCUCAGAGCAUCGUUACUCUGACUGUCAGUGUGCUCACUAAAUUGUGUCAGUCACACAGUUGGUUUUCAGCAGGCGUCACUCUGAAGUCGUCUCUAAUGGCGUGCCAUGCACCAAACGCCGCGUCUUACCUGUGGGUGAGUGUGGGUGGGUGUGUGUGAGUGUGUGUUGAGUGUGGGAGGUGUUAUCUCUUCUUUAGUUUCUCUCUCUCUUCCUCUCUUUGAUUAACAGGCCAUUGCUCAGAGGCCCAAUUCUUAUUUUUAACCUGCCUCCCAAAAGCCAACUCUGAACUGAGUGGGAGGGGAGUGCGGAGGGAGUGGGGAAAGAGCGAAGGAGAGAGGAGGAAAGAAGCAAUGAAAGGAUAGUGUUGACACUUGCUCUCUCCGUUGGUUUUCUCUGUCUGAAGUUAUCUUCAUCAGUUUCUGUAUGUUUCUGUAGGUCUCUCGUUCUGUAGGUCUCUCUGUAUGUCUCCGUCUGUAUGUAGGCCUCCCCGCCUUGCAGGUCUCUCUUACACACCUUGAGAUUCCUCCUGCAGAGUUGACGGUGCUGAGUGUAGCCCCCCGAAGCCGCCUCAAACCUAUUACUGAAAACCGGGAGAGAGGAAAGAGGAGAGGUGAGCAGACGAAAAGCACGAGACAAAACGCUAAUCAAAGCUGGGAGAGGGAGAGAAAGAGAAGAACCACAAAGAAAGCAGUGACAUCAUCCUCGCGCUGGAAAAAAAGGAGAAAGACAGCGAGAAGAAAAGAGAGCGACAAGGCCUCCUAGUUGGCGUACCUAUGCAUCUGUCAUUGAUUUCUUCCUCUGUAAAUAUUUGAAGGGCCAAUAAAGCCCUUUCUUUAUUUACUCCACUUUAUUUAUUCAGGCUCAUGCUAGCGCCUCGCAGUCUCCCUCUGGAAGGUGCGGCGUCAUCACCGCCCAAUUACUCAUGCAUUAUUAAAGCUUGUCUCCUUUCCUUUCUACUUCCUAUGUGAAGGUAGCAUUAUUAAAAGCUACUGUAUUCUUGCCCACUUCCUCCUUCCUUCCUUCCUUCCUUUCUUCCUAUCCUCCGCGCAUUUAAAAUCCUCCCUUUUCAUUUCUUCCGUGAUUUCCUUUUUUUGUCUUCUUUCUCCUCUUUUCUCUGUUAAAAGCUGACUUCCUACCUCCUCGGUUCCCCACAUAAUGUAAUACCCCGAAACUUCCUCUCUCUCUCGUUGUCUGUCCCUCCUCCGCUUCUCUUUUUCCUAACUCACUUCCAUGCUAUUCGCCCCGGGCUGCCUCCUGCAUCCUAACACAGGGAAUUGAAAAUCCUCCUAAGCUCUGAUCUGUGUGUGUAUGUGUGUUUUUUGAGAGAGAGAUUGUGUGUGUGUGUUGGGAGAGAGAUUGUGUGUGUGUGUGUUGGGAGAGUGAUUGUCUGUGUGUGUCUGACUUGUCUUUCAUUAGAGGGAGCUUUGAUGUGAAGGAACAAUGAAGGUGGCAUUGUCACUAAGGAUCUUUUUUUAAUAUAACUGCCUGGUGUCUCUUUCUGCACUGCCAGGUCACAGUGACAUCUUAUUUCAGAGAUAUAGGGUUGGAUAUGGGAAGUCAACUGCCUGGUGUCUCUGUCUGCACUGCCAGGUCACAGUGACAUCUUAUUUCAGAGAUAUAGGGUUGGAUAUGGGAAGUCAACUGCCUGGUGUCUCUGUCUGCACUGCCAGUACACAGUGACAUAUUUUUUCAGAGAUAUAGGGUUGGAUAUGGGAAGUCAACUGCCUGGUGUCUCUGUCUGCACUGCCAGUUCACAGUGACAUAUUUUUUCAGAGAUAUAGGGUUGGAUAUGGGAAGUCAACUGCCUGGUGUCUCCGUCUGCACUGCCAGUUCACAGUGACAUAUUUUUCCAGAGAUAUAGGGUUGGAUAUGGGAAGUCCAGUACACACAUAGAGUGUACCGCGACCUCAGAGAGGUGAGACGGUGAAACGGUUGGACAGACAAAGGAGAAGGGGUGGAGAGAGAACACACAGUGACAUGCUUGUACGAAAACAAAGCACAGCACAGACCGUACAAUAACAAUCCAACACCUCUUUACCAAUCUAAAUCCAACCCCUCCUCUCCAACAAUGCAGAGUUACAGAGACAAGAGAGGAAGAGACCAGGGGAGGGAGAGACCAGGGGAGGGAGAGACCAGGGGAGGGAGAGGGGGCGAGAUAGAGAGGGGAAGAGAAACAGGCAUAAACAAGGUAGUGAAAAUAGAAACACACCGUUGUACAGGGGACCAGAGGCAUCCAUUCUCUCCACCACUUCAAAAACCCGGGCAGACGACAUGAGGAAACAGCACCCGUCCCAAAAAGCACCCCGUUGCCCGUGCAGUGCACUCCUUCUGACCAGAAUGCCUAGCAGCACUGUGGGGAAUAGGGGGCCAUUUUGGACACUGUCACAGAGGGAGAUGUUUCCAAGGAAGCUCAUGGGUCCCAUGGGGACAAUGGUCCAGUUGUGCAGAAGCCCAGUAACUGCUCUGAAAAUGUAUUUAUUUUUUGUCCAGCUAAAUGAGUUGUAAGUAGAUUACUGAAGAUGUUGUUAUAUAUAGUCUUACUAUGAGGUUAUUCUUGAUUCGUAUUGACCCUAACCCUUAUGCCACGAUUGAAGUUACUGCACUUUCACGUGGUUGGGCAAAGCAGGGCGCUCUUCCAACCGCCCGAAAUAUUACAGAAGUGAUAUUUAUCUCCCCUGAAAUGUAUGUUUUCAUAUUUCAUAUUUGUGGGGUCGCAUUCUCCCUCAGCGUGUGUACGGGAGAUCGGCUAAAUGCCUCAGGAGAGACGUACCAGACCUCAGGCAGACUGGGCCUUGAGCACUUGUGGCCUCAACUACAUAAUCCAAACAUUAUGUUCCACAACCAUAGCUGAAUUCCCAGGAUAACACACACACACACACACUGAUGGAUGGGCCCUCCUCCCCAACACACUGCAUUAUAACUUCAUCCCUGACACGUUGUAUAUGAGCAGGAGCCCUCAGCCUGUAUCAUAAGUAGACCUAUUUAUAGCAUCCAUGCCGCGGCGGAGGCGCUCACAGGGGAGAACAUGAGUGAGUGUUGUUAAUAUUCCAAAUGCUAAUACCGACAACUCUCUAAUCGCCCACUUCCACAUAACAGUAGGCUGCGUCUUACAGAAAUCGCAGAACACUUUGAGUGAACUAUCCCUUCAAAGGAAUGUUUGAAACUUUAUCUUCAAGGGACAGUUCUCUUAAAAUACAAUCCUUUAUAGCCAUAUUUUGACGGAAGUGUCUUUGAAGACCCACACCAGUGGAAAUCAUUUUUAUCGACCAGAAAGUCGAUGUCCAGACCUUACCCAUAAUGUUGUACAGCGGUUCACGUCAAUAGGUCAUAUGACAUAACUAAGAUUGAGGUGAUAAAUCCAAUCUUCUCAGGUGUCUGUGAAAUCUGUCAUUUCCUAGAAAAUGAUGUGCAUACUCUUUGCAGCUGGCCUUUCAGUUCAGAGCUCAGGUUUAUUUGUCUUUGGGGCUCCAACUGACAGUCAGCUAUGUCAGUUACGCUACACUUGCAUUGCAAUAGCCCUGUUGUAAUUCUUUUUCCUUUUGUUACGAUCUGCUUAUCGUAAUAAUUUCGGUAAUUUGUGACAUUUCGCAAAUGUUUUAGCUAUUGUGUGUACAGCAAAAAUAUAUGAAUAUCUGAGGAAAUCGUGAAUGAGGAAAUUGUGUGAUAUGAUUGCAUUUUACAUUGCCGGAGGUUCAAUGGUUUUAUACCACUAAUGUAACAAGCACAUUUACAGUCAUGUAAGAAAGUACCCCCAGGAUGUUACAUAUUUGGACGUGUGGAUGUGUAAUCUUUACAUCAACACUACUGACAGAUAAAGGUAUACCUAAUUUAACAAAUGACACUGAAAGAUUGUACUUGGCAGUCACUGCAGAAAUACGCUAGGUUCAAAUAGCUGUUUUAGCCCCCUUUGGCUGAAACGCCUUCAUGCAGUUUCUUGUAACCGUCUAUCAGUGUUGUACAUCGACUGGGAGGAACUUUUGCCCCCUUUUCAGUACAGUGCUGCUUCAACGGUAAUGUUCAAGGGCUUUCUUGCAUGCGCAUCUUGUUUCAAGUCCUCCCACAGCAUUCCAAUAGGACUGAAAUCUGGACAUUGUCUCAGCCAUUCCAUUACCCUCCAUCUCCUCUGUUCGAGCCAUCCUGUUGUAGCUUUGCUUGUGUGUUUCGGGUCAUUGGUCUUGUGGAAAGAUCCAAGAUGACCUUUGGUCUAGAGAUUUAGAUUAGAUUGGAUUCAACUUUAUUGUCAUUGAACAAGUAAAGGUACGGUACAACAAGAUGCAGUUAGCAUCUAACCAGAAGUGCUAAUAGACGAGGGCGGAAAAUGUACAAGUAUUAAGUGGAAUGGUACUGAGGGCUACCUCGCAAUCCCCAAGUCCAAGUAUAAAGGCUUUGGUGACAGGGCUUUCUCCUAGGCUCUGGAACUCGCUCCCCAAAACCAUCUGUGACUCUGAGACUAUCCCCAUCUUCCAGCAAUGCCUCAAAACUCAUCUGUUCAAAAUCACCUACCCUUAGCCAUGCCCAGGCCCAUUCUCUCAAUUGUCUUUGUUUUACCAUGGUAUUUUUUUUGUUUGUUUCUGUUCCAUGUUCAUUUUGUAAAGCGUCUUUGGGUCCCUGAAAAGCGCUAUAUAAAUAUAAUGCAUUAUUAGUGAUGGGUCACAGAGUUCAGCAGUCUAUCUAAAUCACCUGGGUAAAUAUUUAUAUGGAGGAUUUUUGGCUGUGAUUCAGAUUAUGUUGGUGUAGCUAGCAAGUUGUGCUAGCUAGCUACAGCCUGGGCUCCAUUAUAGGAAAUUGUCAUGAUACGAUAUACGAGGAUGCAGUUGUUGGUGGUCUUAAAUGGAAAGCAGACCGAAAAUAUAAUGAUUAAAGCGCCCAUAUUAUGACUGCUUUUCAACUUAUAGGUCUAUAAGUUCCAUAAAACAUGUUUCUGAAGUUGUUUGCUGGAAAUAGCUUGUAGGAAAAGAUUCUUACCUCCCUCUAUUACCCUCUGUUUCAGUCCCUUUCAAAGUUUUCUGCUGCUCAUUGCAUAUUCAUUAGCUGCUGCUCCUUUGCCCACGCCCACUCUAACUGUUACCAUGGUAGCGGGGAGAGCGUAGUAGUAAAAGAGAGAAAUGCCAUCAACUUCAUCUUUUAGAAUGUAUGUAUUAUUAUGCCAACAGAUACAUCAAGCAAAAAAGUAUCACUAAUAAAUACACUCCAGGAGAAGAAACUACAGAAUGGUUGGCUUCAAGUGUAAAUAGUGCUGUGAUGUAGCAGUCUAAACCAUACACUUGUUUUGCCCUAGACAACGCUAACAUAUUCCCGUUUGUAAAUAUAAUAUUAUAAAAUAUUUACAAAUGCAUUAUUUGCACAAAUCCCCGAAAUUAUAUCCGGCGGGGGAUGAGUAUUGCUUGACCGACUGAGUCUCCGGGUUUGUAUGUGGACACCAUGCUAAUAGCUAGAAGCUAGCGGUUAGCGUUACCUUGUACUAUGUGGCAAAACACUAGCUAGCUAAAAUGUUAGUUUGCCAAAACACUUCUUGGUUAGUUUGUGUAGAAUUGCAAAAUAAAGACAGCUAAUUGUAUAGAACUACUUACAUGUCCCUUGUCUGCAGGUAUUCCACGCAAAGUUUGAAUUGCGCACUCUUUUAGCAAAAGUUUCUUGGCUAAUCCUGCCUUGUACUGACCGAAGUUGGAGAAACAGCCGUCUCAAACUGGUUAGCACAAACCGAAAAAAUUUUGAUAACUGUAGCAGGGACAUUGCCUUCAAAAAUGAAUUCAAGCCAUGCCACUCUUCUGUCCUCUGCGGCUGGGACGCGAUGGAGUGUUUUGUGCUCCUCUUUACAGCCAACCACAGUUUAAGUGGUGCUUCGACAUGGUGGUUCUGAAUCAGUAACAACAUGGAGGAUAUCAGAGAAGAAGUUACUGCUGUACCUGGUGGGUGGAGGGUGGGAAUAUUUAAAUUUUUCGGACUGUGACGUCACAGUCCGAGGAGUUUUCUAACAGCUCACCCAGAGACUGAAGACAGAGGACAUUCAGAAACCUAUAUCUCACUCAAAACAGCAUGGAUGUUUUUUUUCCAAAGUUUGUAUGCGUGUGGAAGCACCAGAGACGCAAAAGAACACCCCAAAACCCAGAAAACGUGAUUUUUUUCAUAAUAUGGGCACUUUAAGCAUUUUCAGUGAACUGUCCCUUUAAGUGAAUAAACAGGGUCCUUUUAUAGAAAGGACCGUUGUGAUGUUCUGUGAAUCGCAACACCUGGAGGCUGUCGUCAUCGGCUGUGCAGCUCUUCAAGGGCCUCGGGAGAGCGCUGCGUUACAGAAGAUGGCUGCCUUUGAUCUGGCUUAGAGAUGGAGAGAAACAAUAGCGUCAGCUGGAGAGGCCCCACACUGGAACAACACAUACACACACUCAAAGACACAUAGGAACGAUGCACUCUACAGCAAAUAGUCAAACUGAACACAUGGCAGGCUCCUUUGAAGCAGCGGGAAUGUGAUAGGGAGGAGGCAGCAGCAGCAGUUACAUGACAGUCAGACGGUAAGUUAGCACUGUGUCAACAGUAGCAGUUAUGUGACAGUCAGGUUGUAAGUUCACUGUGUCAACAGUAGCAGUUAUGUGACAGUCAGGCUGUAAGUUCAGUGUGACAACAGUAGCAGUUAUGUGACAGUCAGGUUGUAAGUUCAGUGUGUCAACAGUAGCAGUUAUAUGACAGUCAGGUUGUAAGUUCAGUGUGACAACAGUAGCAGUUAUGUGACAGUCAGGUUGUAAGUUCAGUGUGUCAACAGUAGCAGUUAUAUGACAGUCAGGUUGUAAGUUCAGUGUGACAACAGUAGCAGUUAUGUGACAGUCAGGCUGUAAGGUCAGUGUGUCAACAGUAGCAGUUAUGUGACAGUCAGGCUGUAAGUUCAGUGUGUCAACAGUAGCAGUUAUGUGACAGUCAGGCUGUAAGUUCAGUGUGUCAACAGUAGCAGUUAUGUGACAGUCAGGCUGUAAGUUCAGUGUGUCAACAGUAGCAGUUAUGUGACAGCCUGUAAGGUCAGUGUGUCAACAGUAGCAGUUAUGUGACAGUCAGGCUGUAAGGUCAGUUUGUCAACAGUAGCAGUUAACAGAAAAACACACAAAAAGGGUUUUGGGCCGUUGUGUCUGACAAUGGAACGAGUACACUUACAUUCAUGCUGCACUGUCUGCAGGGUAUGCUAUGUGAGCAACUGAUGGGAAAUAUUUCAUAAAUCUCUUCAAGUCUUCAUCUUACCCUUUUAGGUAAUUGUAAAUGUAAUCAACUAGAAUUUGUUAACUGGUCCUGCAUAUUCUGUUGCUAGUCUUUAAUUCUAACAGGACACCUGGAUGUUAAAACGGAAAGGCAUGUUUUGACACCACGCUGAAAAACACAUGAGAUGACCUCCCAUCUGCAUGCAUUAUACAGUACAGGGGGGAGCCAUGCUGUCUCCAAUGGCUCCAAUGUUCAAAAGGCAGUGUCAUGGGAUAAGCCGCAAAACAGACUGGAAGUUGUUUAUUAUAGAAGGACUCUUGCCUUCUCUGGUACUACAGUGCCUCCUUUUGCCUUGAAGCUUUCCAAACACCAUUGAGCUAAAACACAAACAAGGAAAACAUGUCAGUUUUCCUUGCAACUGUUUUUCUUAAUCUUUAAGUGACUGAGACGGUUAUUUAAUUCCUUUCCGCUCAGGAUUUGAAUAUUCAUGUGGAACUUAACAAAACAAACAUUAAAAAAAAUAAUGUUUAAUUCAAACUGCAACAUGAACAUAGCAUGCUGCCAUUACAGCACGAAUCCAAGGAGAGGUAAGCUGGAUGCUAAUUGGUGAUCUUUUGGCUGUCAUGAGCUACUGUUAAGCAUGUGUUGGUAUUUUCUUGUUGUUCCUGAUUAGUUGUGAAAAGGACAGCUGUUUCCAGCGGCUCUGGGUUUUAACUGUGUGAAAGAACUCUCUGUAAUGAAUUACAGAUGGCGGGAAGCUGUGGCAUUGGUCCGUGUGCAGAACGUGUGCGUCUCUAAACAAUCCAUGCGUUGCUUUUGGUGUCAGCUGAAUUCCAGGUGAAUGCCAAGCAUGAGAAUAGAGAAUGAAUGAGCGGUGUCAUUGGAAAAACAAAUACCAUUUUGGAGCUUAGCGCUCCGUUGCCCUCUCGCUAGCAGAAUAAUGGAAACUAUAAGGCAGACGGAAUUAGAUUUUUGUCAUGUUAUCCUUCACAUUCGCUACAGAUUGCUCAAGCAUUUUGUGGAUUUGGAAUUAGACGGCGUGAAGUUUUCCUCUUGAUGAGCAGUUUUCGUCUUUGCUUCAAGCGGCUUCUUGUGAAAUGUUAUAGUCCCUUACGAACACAGGCAUGUCACCUUAUAGAUGAGUACGUAGAGCAGUAUGACACUACAGGUUUGAAUAAAGCCCUUAGUUCUGACAGUGAAGCCCCAUCACUAUAUACCUUCAUAAUGAGCUGUGACUGCAUGUCAAGGUGAAAUCACUUUAGAUCACGUUAGUCAUUCUUAAUUAGUUCAUCCCGCUAGGUCCAACAAAACUUAAAUCUAACUAGGUUUCUCUCUUUUAAGACUGAAUCCUGUGGGUUUACCUGAACCAUGGACUGUAGUGGAGCCUUCCUGAAAAAGCAAACACUUCCCUUUAACAGUGGAGUACAGAUGUUAUCUGGCUGAGUUUGAGUAGGUCAGUCGGCCUGUGUGACGUUAGAGGAAACAUCUUUCUUGACUGGAGAGUAGUAAGAACACACAGCUAAUCCUCAGCAGGCCACGGGUGUCCCUUAGCUUGGCCUUCAGACUGCCGGAGGUCUCUACGACGGAGUUGAUCGGGUACAAACACGCACUUUCUCGAAAAGAAAAACACAGUGCAACGCAAUCUUUGGUGCUCUUUCUUUCUCCCCCUCUAUUCUCCAACACCCGUUUACACACCUGCCUUAACAGACAAACGCUUCGUUCCUUCUUCUCCCACGCUGCCGAAACAUUUUAUUCUGAUGUGAUCCCUGGUGAGCCGCCAUAGAUGGACAGGAGGCAAUCGACGUGCGGGAAAUACUUGAGCCAGACAGGCCCUCUCAAAACCCACUCGCCCGUACCAUUUAAAGUAAUCUGGGUUUUGGAGUUAACACCUCGAUUCUCGACAUAGCUUCAAUUCUUCCACUCCUGAAUAAACUCCCAUAAAUUGGGUCACCCGCUUUCGCCG
This is a long non-coding RNA of Esox lucius (northern pike), 9350 nucleotides long. Lineage: Eukaryota; Metazoa; Chordata; Actinopteri; Esociformes; Esocidae. The record is from Ensembl.